UACAGAGGGUGCAAGCGUUGUUCGGAAUUAUUGGGCGUAAAGCGCGUGUAGGUGGCCACGCAAGUCAGGUGUGAAAGCCCAGGGCUCAACCCCGGAAGUGCACAUGAUACUACGUGGCUGGAGUACUGAAGAGGAGAGCGGAAUUCCCGGUGUAGAGGUGAAAUUCGUAGAUAUCGGGAGGAACACCAGUGGCGAAGGCGGCUCUCUGGGCAGAUACUGACACUGAGACGCGAAAGCGUGGGUAGCAAACAGG
Molecule: ribosomal RNA, 253 nt
Filed under: uncultured bacterium
Lineage: Bacteria
Description: partial 16S ribosomal RNA
Rfam family: Bacterial small subunit ribosomal RNA
Source: RNAcentral